This 660-nucleotide ribosomal RNA is filed under the name uncultured bacterium. RNAcentral describes it as "bacterial SSU rRNA". It matches the Rfam family "Bacterial small subunit ribosomal RNA", at positions 50 to 697 of the family's 1533-position model. The record is from RNAcentral.
AACACAUGCAAGUCGAGGGGAAACGACAUCGAAAGCUUGCUUUUGAUGGGCGUCGACCGGCGCACGGGUGAGUAACGCGUAUCCAACCUGCCCACCACUUGGGGAUAACCUUGCGAAAGUAAGACUAAUACCCAAUGAUAUCUCUAGAAGACAUCUGAAAGAGAUUAAAGAUUUAUCGGUGAUGGAUGGGGAUGCGUCUGAUUAGCUUGUUGGCGGGGUAACGGCCCACCAAGGCAACGAUCAGUAGGGGUUCUGAGAGGAAGGUCCCCCACAUUGGAACUGAGACACGGUCCAAACUCCUACGGGAGGCAGCAGUGAGGAAUAUUGGUCAAUGGACGAGAGUCUGAACCAGCCAAGUAGCGUGCAGGAUGACGGCCCUAUGGGUUGUAAACUGCUUUUAUAAGGGAAUAAAGUGAGUCUCGUGAGACUUUUUGCAUGUACCUUAUGAAUAAGGACCGGCUAAUUCCGUGCCAGCAGCCGCGGUAAUACGGAAGGUCCGGGCGUUAUCCGGAUUUAUUGGGUUUAAAGGGAGCGUAGGCCGGAGAUUAAGCGUGUUGUGAAAUGUAGACGCUCAACGUCUGCACUGCAGCGCGAACUGGUUUCCUUGAGUACGCACAAAGUGGGCGGAAUUCGUGGUGUAGCGGUGAAAUGCUUAGAUAU